AUUGAACGCUGGCGGCAGGCCUAACACAUGCAAGUCGAACGAGUGGCGGACGGGUGAGUAAUGUCUGGGAAACUGCCUGAUGGAGGGGGAUAACUACUGGAAACGGUAGCUAAUACCGCAUACCAUCGGAUGUGCCCAGAUGGGAUUGGCUAGGCGGUGGGGUAAAGGCUCACCUAGGCGACGAUCCCUAGCUGGUCUGAGGGGAGGACCAUCCACCCUGGAACGGUGCCACGGUCCAUACUCCUACGGGAGGCAGCAGUGGUGAAUAUUGCACAAUGGGCGCAAGCCUGAUGCAGCCAUGCCGCGUGUAUGAAGAAGGCCUUCGGGUUGUAAAGUACUUUCAGCGGGGAGGCGUUACCCGCAGAAGAAGCACCGGCUAACUCCGUGCCAGCAGCCGCGGUAAUAC
This 406-nucleotide ribosomal RNA is filed under the name uncultured bacterium. RNAcentral's name for it is "partial 16S ribosomal RNA". It matches the Rfam family "Bacterial small subunit ribosomal RNA", at positions 30 to 526 of the family's 1533-position model. The record is from RNAcentral.